UACGUAGGUGGCAAGCGUUGUCCGGAAUUAUUGGGCGUAAAGGGCGUGUAGGUGGAUUCCUAAGUCGUGUGUCUAAGUGCGGGGCUCAACCCCGUAUAGGCGCAGGAAACUGGGAAUCUUGAGUGCAGGAGAGGAAAGUGGAAUUCCCAGUGUAGAGGUGAAAUUCGUAGAUAUUGGGAGGAACACCAGUGGCGAAGGCGGCUUUCUGGACUGUGUCUGACACUGAGGCGCGAAAGCGAGGGGAGCGAACGGG
This 253-nucleotide ribosomal RNA is filed under the name uncultured bacterium. RNAcentral's name for it is "partial 16S ribosomal RNA". It matches the Rfam family "Bacterial small subunit ribosomal RNA", at positions 524 to 776 of the family's 1533-position model. The record is from RNAcentral.